This is a non-coding RNA of Cyanistes caeruleus (blue tit), 857 nucleotides long. The record is from RefSeq and is a predicted model, not a curated record. Lineage: Eukaryota; Metazoa; Chordata; Aves; Passeriformes; Paridae.
AGGUUUCUUUCUCCUUGGUAGAUUCUCUAGGGCAGCCCUGUGGAUUGGGACCACCUCUUUCAUGAUUCUGGUUCUUCCUGUCGUCUUUGAAACCGAAAAACUGCAGAUGGAGCAACAGCAGCAGCUGCAGCAGCGACAGAUCCUCCUUGGACCCAACACAGGGCUCUCAGGGGGAAUGCCAGGGGCCCUGCCUCCGCUAUCUGGAAAAAUCUAAUUUGCGGAAGCUGAGUUGGAUUCAUAUCAAGUGGGAAGACCUUGCGAUUAUGAUACAUUGAACUGUUGAUUUGUUGGGCCAGGGCAUUUUUUGUUUUUAUUUUUGGUUCUCCUUUGGGACAUUGACCUGUUCAUAACAAGGGAGGGGAAGCCCCCCUCUGGACCUGAUGAUGGCUCCUGUCUGCAUCCCCCUCUCCUUUAGAAAUCAUGAGUAUUUCCUUUUAUUCAAUCACUAUGCCAUAACCAGUUACAGACUUGGAUUGGGGGAGCUCCUCUGCCAGCUUCUUGCUCCCACAGAACACCCUGGGGCACAGGUCAGGCUUUGAAAAGCAGCAGUCAGACACAACAAAUGCUUUCGUGCCUGAUUUGGAGCUGAAGGACAGUGGUGGCAGAAGAGUGACUUUCCCAGCAGAGGAAGGAGGGGUGCAAUCAGUACCCCAUGGAAAAUACUCUUUGGGAAGAUGCGUCUGCAGAAACACUUUCACUGCAGCUGUGUGUGUGUGAGAACCGAGGGAGCAGCAGGCCAGGUUUGAGACGAUCACAUCCACGCAGAUUCUCUGCCUCAUAAAGUAGAACAGACAUCAGCUGCGUAUUUUUUUGUAUGGAAUAUUAAAUAAAUCCAACCUGAGCAGUGUGGUUUUAAU